RNAcentral lists this ribosomal RNA (488 nucleotides) under uncultured bacterium. Its description in RNAcentral is "partial 16S ribosomal RNA". It matches the Rfam family "Bacterial small subunit ribosomal RNA", at positions 28 to 507 of the family's 1533-position model. The record is from RNAcentral.
GACGAACGCUGGCGGCGUGCUUAACACAUGCAAGUCGAACGGAAAGGCCCUGCUUUUGUGGGGUGCUCGAGUGGCGAACGGGUGAGUAACACGUGAGUAACCUGCCCUUGACUUUGGGAUAACUUCAGGAAACUGGGGCUAAUACCGGAUAGGAGCUCCUGCUGCAUGGUGGGGGUUGGAAAGUUUCGGCGGUUGGGGAUGGACUCGCGGCUUAUCAGCUUGUUGGUGGGGUAGUGGCUUACCAAGGCUUUGACGGGUAGCCGGCCUGAGAGGGUGACCGGCCACACUGGGACUGAGACACGGCCCAGACUCCUACGGGAGGCAGCAGUAGGGAAUCUUCCGCAAAGGACGAAAGUCUGACGGAGCAACGCCGCGUGAGCGAAGAAGGCCUUCGGGUCGUAAAGCUCUGUUGUUAGGGAAGAACAAGUAACGCAGUAACUGGCGUUACCGUGACGGUACCUAACGAGAAAGCCACGGCUAACUACGUG